UACGUAGGGUGCGAGCGUUAAUCGGAAUUACUGGGCGUAAAGCGUGCGCAGGCGGUUCGUUGUGUCGGCGGUGAAAGCCCCGGGCUUAACCUGGGAAUGGCCGUUGAAACUGGCGAACUGGAGUGUGGCAGAGGGGGGUGGAAUUCCGCAUGUAGCAGUGAAAUGCGUAGAGAUGCGGAGGAACACCGAUGGCGAAGGCAGCCCCCUGGGCUGACACUGACGCUCAGGCACGAAAGCGUGGGGAGCAAACAGG
This 253-nucleotide ribosomal RNA is filed under the name uncultured bacterium. RNAcentral's name for it is "partial 16S ribosomal RNA". It matches the Rfam family "Bacterial small subunit ribosomal RNA", at positions 524 to 776 of the family's 1533-position model. The record is from RNAcentral.